UUUACGGGGGGGGGACGGAAAGACCCUUACCAGGUCUUGACAUCCUCUGACAACCCUAGAGAUAGGGCUUCCCCUUCGGGGGCAGAGUGACAGGUGGUGCAUGGUUGUCGUCAGCUCGUGUCGUGAGAUGUUGGGUUAAGUCCCGCAACGAGCGCAACCCUUGAUCUUAGUUGCCAGCAUUCAGUUGGGCACUUUAAGGUGACUGCCGGUGACAAACCGGAGGAAGGUGGGGAUGACGUCAAAUCAUCAUGCCCCUUAUGACCUGGGCUACACACGUGCUACAAUGGGCAGAACAAAGGGCAGCGAAGCCGCGAGGCUAAGCCAAUCCCACAAAUCUGUUCUCAGUUCGGAUCGCAGUCUGCAACUCGACUGCGUGAAGCUGGAAUCGCUAGUAAUCGCGGAUCAGCAGCCCGUCCAG
RNAcentral lists this ribosomal RNA (418 nucleotides) under uncultured Bacillus sp. RNAcentral describes it as "bacterial SSU rRNA". It matches the Rfam family "Bacterial small subunit ribosomal RNA", at positions 945 to 1363 of the family's 1533-position model. Lineage: Bacteria; Bacillati; Bacillota; Bacilli; Caryophanales; Bacillaceae. The record is from RNAcentral.